ACACCCCUCAAGCCUGGCUUGGUAUUGGGCGCCGGGAGCUCUUCCCGCGCCCCGAUUUCGCCGGCUGGACGACUCCGAUCUCUCAAGCGUUGUGCAAAUUUCGCUGGCGAGACGGGCGGCCACGCCGUUAAACCCUUAAUCAAAU
This 145-nucleotide unclassified non-coding RNA is filed under the name uncultured Devriesia. Its description in RNAcentral is "sequence contains ITS2". Lineage: Eukaryota; Fungi; Ascomycota; Dothideomycetes; Mycosphaerellales; Teratosphaeriaceae. The record is from RNAcentral.